Molecule: long non-coding RNA, 132 nt
Filed under: Penaeus japonicus
Lineage: Eukaryota; Metazoa; Arthropoda; Malacostraca; Decapoda; Penaeidae
Description: uncharacterized LOC122257215
Source: RNAcentral
CGACCCGGCUUCACCAGCCUUAGUAGUAAACAAACUGUGGUGAGGUUUAGACGCUUCGGUAGGAAGAAGGAAAGAAUCAGCACUCAUACAUUCAUCAAAGACGAAAGUACCAUUUCCUCUGAGAGACAGUGA